AAUUUUUUUUCUUUUUUUUUUUUAUAAAAUCAUAUUAUAUAUAGAUCUACUUUUUUAGCAAAUUAUUGGAAAUUAAUAAAUGUCAUGCGUCCAAUCCAUGGAGGAACUAGACGAUUUCAUUUUUUUUUUUUUUGCUUUUUUAUUAAAUAAGUAACAUUAUUUAAAUAUUUUCAUAUAAUUUAAAUAAAAUUUAAUUAAAUUAUAAAUUUAACAGUGAAGGUGCUAUUUUACCUUUUGGUAUUUUUAUCUUGCUUUCUCU
Molecule: unclassified non-coding RNA, 259 nt
Filed under: Hevea brasiliensis (rubber tree)
Lineage: Eukaryota; Viridiplantae; Streptophyta; Magnoliopsida; Malpighiales; Euphorbiaceae
Source: RNAcentral